Molecule: long non-coding RNA, 1722 nt
Filed under: Sarcophilus harrisii (Tasmanian devil)
Lineage: Eukaryota; Metazoa; Chordata; Mammalia; Dasyuromorphia; Dasyuridae
Description: lncRNA (ENSSHAG00000025269.1)
Source: RNAcentral
CUUUGGAUUUCAAAUGGAUAGCACAGGGUGGUAAGGGAUUCCUCUCUAGACAAGACAUAAUGGAUAAGGAGGGCAGUUAGUCUGCUAAUGGAAAGGGAAAACAUUUAGCAAGAAAUAGUUUGUCAAACAGAAGAUGGAAUUUUAUCCCCAUGUAGUCAGAUUUCCAUUUCCUCUCAAUUCUGGGUUUUCAGAAGUUAGGAGCCUCUUGUUGGCUUUUGUUUUCCUGAAAGCAACUGGCAGAUCGGAACCAAAAACACUAACCUCUCUUCUAGUCUACUGGGCUGAUCUCUCUUAAAAUUGGCAAUUUCUGCAAAAUUUUCACUUUUUGUAUACCUGGGUGUUUAAUAUUAAUACAUAGAACAUAGGGAGGAUUUUUUUUACAUGAGGAUCUGAAUGUUUCCCCCCAGAAAGAUUUCAUGCUGAAUGAGGAAGGAUUUAUCCCAAAUGGGAAAAACACAAGUCGAUUCUAGUCAUGGUUGGAAGUCUUGGGGAACUGUCUGAACAAAACUCCCCCGGUCCUCUGGACAAUGAUGGUUGAGGAGCUAUUCCCCUCUUCCUCACUUAGGAAUGGGAGAUUCACCUCAGAACCCCUUCGAGGGGAACCUGGUGGACUCCUUUUAAUUCAAUUAAUUCAGCCUUUUUCAGUUUUUUUACUUCUCCUCUCUUCCCCUUUCCCCUUUCCCCAAGCCCUGGAAAGGAAAGUUUAUAAGUAGAAUUUCAAACCACUAAAACUUAGAAAAGGCCUUAGGGAGUGGAGCUUACACAUGCCAUGAGUCCCUCUAGAUAAAUCUUGUUUCCUCUUUCCCUGUAAUUGAGCCAGUCAGUGGCAACAUUCAAGAAUAUCUUGAUCCCACCCCCACCCCCUACUAUUUCUUAUGGGUCAUCCUAUUGGAAAAAAAGAGGUUACCUGUAAACAUCCUUCAAUAAGUCCAAGCUUCUUUCCCUUUCAAUGGGCCAAAUCCUUUUACUUUUAACUUUUUCCCAUCCCUUUCUUAAUUUUGCCUUUGUCAGUCCUACCACAUCAUUUCCUGUUUUUAAUCCAAAAGGAAGAUAUACAAAGAUGAGUUCAGAUCACCCUCCCAUGACUAAAUUGGCCUUGUCAAACAUUUUCUAUAUCUAUACAUAUAUAUCCAUAUGUGUAUAAAUAUAUGUGUGUGCCAAUGAAUCUAACUCUUAGAUCUAUUGCAAGCAGUCCACAAAUAGGAGUUUUGAGUUUCUUUGGUUUCCCCAGUAACUCAUAGCAAGCACUGGUAUUUUUGUAUAAAAAGGAAAAAACAAAACAAAAGACUUAAGUAUUUGUGGUAUGCAUGACUUAAAAAGUAAAUGGUGGUUUUAAAGCAAUAUGUAUCCUGGCAUGUGUGGCGAUGCUCUGCAGUUCUGCUUAACUGUGUACCCAGUCUGUACCUGCAUUCUAACAAUAUUUAAGCUCUAUGUACCAUGUUUUGCAUGUAUUUAUAUGGGGUUUUUUUGGUGGGGGGAGAUAGAAUGAACUGUCAACACUUCUGGGAACAUUAAAACUUAAACGAGACAGUUGACUGAGAUGAGAAGACUAAAAGAGAUUUUUUAGAAGAAAAUAAAAAUGAUAAUUUUAUUUAAAUUUUGGGGGGAACCAAUAAUGCUUUCUGCUGUGGAGCAGAAACCAAUGCCGCUGUACACUGAAAAUAAAAACCCCAUGCCCACUUCUAAUUGUAAUGUCCUCAAUGUGUCUCCACUUAAGGUAUG